CAAUAGCGUAUAUUAAAGUUGUUGCAGUUAAAAAGCUCGUAGUUGGAUUUGUGGCGUACGGUGUGUUCCGGGCACUUGUUGUCUGAGUAACCUGCUGUUGCCAUCCUUGGGUGGAACCUGUGUGGCACUAGGUUGUCGUGCAGGGGAUGCCCAUCAUUUACUGUGAAAAAAUUAGAGUGUUCAAAGCAGGCUUAUGCCGUUGAAUAUAUUAGCAUGGAAUAAUGAGAUAGGACUUUUUUGCUAUUUUGUUGGUUUGCGCAAGAAGGUAAUGAUUAAUAGGGACAGUUGGGGGUAUUCGUAUUCCAUUGUCAGAGGUGAAAUUCUUGGAUUUUUGGAAGACGAACUACUGCGAAAGCAUUUACCAAGGAUGUUUUCAUUAA
RNAcentral lists this ribosomal RNA (380 nucleotides) under uncultured eukaryote. Its description in RNAcentral is "partial 18S ribosomal RNA". It matches the Rfam family "Eukaryotic small subunit ribosomal RNA", at positions 592 to 976 of the family's 1831-position model. The record is from RNAcentral.